GGCCGCGGGAAUUCGAUUCAGGCCUAACACAUGCAAGUCGAACGAUGAUAAAAAAAUUGCAGGGUGGAUUAGUGGCGAACGGGUGAGUAACACGUGGGUGAUCUGCCCUGCACUGCGGGAUGAGCCUGGGAAACUGGGUCUAAUACCGGAUAUGAGCGUCCUUGAGUGGGGGGGGUGGAAAGCUUUUGCGGUGUGGGAUGAGCCUGCGGCCUAUCAGCUUGUUGGUGGGGUAAUGGCCUACCAAGGCGUCGACGGGUAGCCGGCCUGAGAGGGUGAUGGGCCACAUUGGGACUGAGACACGGCCCAGACUCCUACGGGAGGCAGCAGUG
Molecule: ribosomal RNA, 329 nt
Filed under: uncultured bacterium
Lineage: Bacteria
Description: partial 16S ribosomal RNA
Rfam family: Bacterial small subunit ribosomal RNA
Source: RNAcentral